AGUGCUUGGCUCUUCUGUUCUGCUA
RNAcentral lists this non-coding RNA (25 nucleotides) under Cricetulus griseus (Chinese hamster). The record is from RNAcentral. Lineage: Eukaryota; Metazoa; Chordata; Mammalia; Rodentia; Cricetidae.